UACGGAAGGCAGCAGUGGGGAAUAUUGCACAAUGGGCGCAAGCCUGAUGCAGCCAUGCCGCGUGUAUGAAGAAGGCCUUCGGGUUGUAAAGUACUUUCAGUCGUGAGGAAGGUGUUAAGGUUAAUAACCUUAGCAAUUGACGUUAGCGACAGAAGAAGCACCGGCUAACUCCGUGCCAGCAGCCGCGGUAAUACGGAGGGUGCGAGCGUUAAUCGGAAUUACUGGGCGUAAAGGGCACGCAGGCGGUUAAUUAAGUUGGAUGUGAAAUCCCCGGGCUUAACCUGGGAAUGGCAUUCAAGACUGGUUAGCUAGAGUCUUGUAGAGGGGGUAGAAUUCCAUGUGUAGCGGUGAAAUGCGUAGAGAUGUGGAGGAAUACCGGUGGGCGAAGGCGGCCCCUGGGACAAAGGACUGACGCUCAUGUGCGAAAGCGUGGGGAGCAAACAGGGAUUAGAUA
RNAcentral lists this ribosomal RNA (454 nucleotides) under uncultured bacterium. Its description in RNAcentral is "bacterial SSU rRNA". It matches the Rfam family "Bacterial small subunit ribosomal RNA", at positions 340 to 784 of the family's 1533-position model. The record is from RNAcentral.